AGGUUUCUUACUCAUUUCUCGAUCCAGACAGAUUGUACUUUGAUAUAUAUCGAUCCAUCACCAUCAGCCUAUGUAUAGUCUAUUCAGGGAACCCAUUAAAUUGUUGAGUUAAGCCAGGAGGGAGUUGCAAGGUGGGUAGUGUGUGAAAAUGGAGAGAAAAUCAUGGGUUUGUACUCUAAUCACACAGAUCUCUCUCUGCUUUGCUCUCUUUGUUGCUCUCCAAAUUGGUCGUCCUCAGAAGCCAAUAAUGUACCAUAACACAACUGAGACAAGUCAUCAUGAUAUUUAUUUCAUCAGUGUUAGAGGAGGCUCUAGACCUCCUAAACAACAGACCGAUCUUCUCAAACAAAUGGCUGAGGUGGUAAAGACGUACAAGGCAAGGUUUGUUAUCAACAUUAGUGAACUUGGGGAAGAUGAUCCACUCAUGCUGAAUGCUACGUGGAAUUUUCAGUCAUUUAAAGUUCCCUGGUAUACAACAAAAGCUUCAAAAUUACGAGGAGCAGGAUACUUUGUCAAGCAGGUCAAAAUCCCCUAUGGGCAAACCUUAGAUGUUAUUUUUGUGGAUACCAGCUCACUGCAGGAUACUUCAAAUGAUGGCCAAAAUGAUCAGUUAAACUGGCUAAUGAGUACUCUCGAAGCAAGCAAUGCUAGCUGGCGUAUCAUUGCUGGAUUCCACUCAAUUGUAGCUUGUGAUAAGAAUAUCGAACAAAUGGAAACAAAAGAAGCUGUUGAGCCUCUGCAUCGAAUAUUCCUAAAAUAUGGAGUGAAUGCAUACCUGAGCGGACAGCCGUGUGCUAACAGUUUCCAUACAGACAAUGACAUCAGCAACAGAGGUCCGGUGACCAAAGGACCAUAUUUUACUACCAUGCAUCAAAGGCCGGUUUUUAAAAAAUUACAGAACAGUUAACGGGUUCCUUCUUCACAGAGUGAGCUCACUAGAAAUUGUGAACUAUUUUGUUACCUUGACAGGGGAAGUUGUGGACAGACUUGCUCUCCAACAAUGGGGAAAAGAGGCCAUGUAAAAGGGAUUCUAACCUUUCCAUAGUGAGCUGGUCUAAUAUUUACAAAUAUGAGAGAUGUUUUCAUCUAUAGCACUCAUAGUUAUUGUUGGAUGCAAGAGGAAAACAUUAGUAAUUAAUGAUCAAAUAUUAAAGGAUCCUUUUGGAUGGAUGUAAAUUUCAAAUCAAGCAAUUUGAGGUUGCUUGAACCAUGGGCAUAGGCUAUCGUGUGAAGUACGAAACUUCCCAACUAGUAUAUAUAAUAUAAUUUACUUUUUGAAUUCAAUUUU
Molecule: RNA transcript, 1288 nt
Organism: Camellia sinensis
Lineage: Eukaryota; Viridiplantae; Streptophyta; Magnoliopsida; Ericales; Theaceae
Gene name: Calcineurin-like metallo-phosphoesterase superfamily protein
Source: RefSeq, a predicted model, not a curated record